Molecule: long non-coding RNA, 322 nt
Filed under: Hordeum vulgare
Lineage: Eukaryota; Viridiplantae; Streptophyta; Magnoliopsida; Poales; Poaceae
Description: long non-coding RNA (HVUL_LNC003864)
Source: RNAcentral
GGAGAAGAGCAACAAGUAUAUUCAGUCCAGUUUGCUGAAGAACCUCUAAAUGCCAUUUUGGACCCCCAGAUAAAUCCUUGGUAUUGUUUGUGGUUUCCACUUGACUUCCUUGCGCCACACUCCUUGACGGAAGUAACAUCCACACACAUGUUUUAUUUCUGGUGUUUUUUCACAUUUAAUCAUGAGAUCAUGGUGACCAUUUUUUUACUCAUCGUGCAAGCGCCUUAUAUGGCUGGUGCUUUUUUUGCAUAAAGCAGUAACAUAUUUUCCUUGUUGUGUCGUGCAUCUCAUGUAAGCUCAAAAGUAGAUAAGCCAAUGAAGG